CGCGCCGGCUGGCCGGGCAAUCCUAGCAUCCUUCGAGAUCGUUCAGUCCAACCGCACCGGCGCCAAACCGUGCCUCUGAGCACCGCACCCACACCUACAAGGAUGGUGACUCCACCAUCUCCCGCUGGCUGGCCGCCCCUGCCGUGAGGAAUUCUUCCCGAGGUCUGAGCAUCACCUGGGUUAAGAUAAAAGAAGCGCAAUUAUGGAUUUAUAAGUAAUGUGCUGUGGUCACAGAUGAAAUGGAUUCUCUUUUCCCAUCUAGGACACCCAGUGUUGCUUACAGUUGUGUAUAAGUCAGACUCUCUAUGCAAGUGGCGCAAAAAGAAAUAGCACAAAUCCUUUUUUUGUAAAGAUGGCCUGGACUUUAGGCAGUCCUUAUGAAUGAAAAUGAUGAGGAUAUAUCCCCUUGGAGCUGUGCUGUUCCUUAGAACCAAACUAUCCAUCGGUUUCAGUGAAACACUUUGGGACGGUGAUAAAUAAUGAGCCAGCAGAAGAACGAAAUGUUGGCUUCGGAAGUGCUUGGGCAAAGGACACAGCGGUAGCGCCGAACUGAGCAACACCCUGCUGUAAACCACUGAAUCCCAGCGCUAGGAAGAAAGCGCUUUCGCCCCAAGGCAAAGCCCGGGGCCAGCUUACGGGAGGAGCCCGGCGGCACGGAGCGCCGGUCCUCCGCACCGCAAGGGCGGCGCCCUCUCCCCCCGCGCCAGUCACGCUCUGUGGUGUCGCCGCGCUUCCGGGCGGGCAUGGCGGGCGCCGGGGAGGAGCCCUUCGCGCCCUCGGCGCUGGGCACUAGGCCACACUGGGAUGCAGCGUAUGAGAGAGAGCUGCAAGCUUUUCAGGAGACGGGAGACGCUGGGGAAAUUUGGUUUGGAGAAGAAAGCAUGGUUCGCAUAAUCAGAUGGUUGGAAAAACAGCAGGUGCCCCUUGACAGCUCAGUGCUUGACAUUGGAACCGGGAAUGGUGUUUUACUGAUUGAAUUGGCAAAAAAUGGCUUCACUAACCUCACUGGGAUUGAUUACUCACCUUCUGCAAUACAACUUUCAGAAAAAGUAAAGGAGAAAGAAGGGAUGUCUAACAUUAAAUUACUGGUAGAAGACUUCCUGACUCCAUCAGCGGAGUUGUCGGGAUUUCAGGUCUGUAUUGACAAGGGGACUUUCGAUGCCGUGAGCCUUAAUCCUGAGGAUGCAGUUGGAAAAAGGAAGCAGUACGUGAGGUCUCUCUGCAGUGUAUUGAAACCAGAGGGCUUUUUCCUCAUAACAUCUUGCAACUGGACCAAGGAGGAGCUGCUGAAUGAGUUCAGAGAAGCUUCUGAAUCUCAUGCCUGAAGCUUGAAACUCCAAGAGUGUGGAUCUAAAACAGCCAUCCCUUCUGGGGAACUAAAAUCACUGGAUUUGAAAUUCUGGAGGAGCUGCCAACACCCAAGUUUUGCUUUGGAGGAAGAAUUGGAAACAGCGUAACAGCAUUGGUUUUCCAAAGAAAAAAGUGAGACCAUCCAUCUUGGACAAAUUAGAUUAGCUGAGAAAAGUCUGAACUUUAAAGUAAGCCUGACAGCAAACCUCAGACACGUGUGUAAAUAAAUGUUAUUUGAGUACACAGUUAAAUGCUAUGUAUGGAACUCCAAGGGACUAUAAAACUCUGCCCUAGAAACAUAA
This is an RNA transcript of Numida meleagris (helmeted guineafowl), 1652 nucleotides long. It is a transcript of the gene named EEF1A lysine methyltransferase 2, with no coding region annotated. The transcript has 7 exons. The record is from RefSeq and is a predicted model, not a curated record. Lineage: Eukaryota; Metazoa; Chordata; Aves; Galliformes; Numididae.